This is a non-coding RNA of Macaca mulatta (Rhesus monkey), 1449 nucleotides long. The record is from RefSeq and is a predicted model, not a curated record. NCBI's taxonomy places the organism in Eukaryota, Metazoa, Chordata, Mammalia, Primates, Cercopithecidae.
CUACAGCUAAGAUGGCCCAAGUAUCAAUGGCCGUCAUACUUUUUCACAAAGAUGCCUGUUUUACUUCCACUUCUAGGAAGGAGUCUAAAAGGAGAAAGAUUGGAAAGAAGAUCUAGCUGUACUUAGUAACUGACUGAAUGCAAGGGUUAACUGGAAGAGAACAUAAAUCAAGAUGACAUCUAGGUAUCUGAUUUGGAAAUCUAAAUACAAGAUUUUGAAAUUCCCUGGCAGAGAAACAUGAAAGAGAAGAUAGCAAAUAAGUGAAGCCAUUCCUUAAAUUAACAAAAAUACACAUAUGGAUUACAGUCUUAUUUUCCUUAUUACCAGGCUUCCUGUUUUUGGCUAAACAUUCCCCAAAGAGAGGAAGUAGAGGAGACAGGAGACAAUGAAAUGAAAUGUGAAAAUAUUAUUCAAAAUUUAAAAUACAAUUUUGAAAAAGAUGCCAGCAUCCUCAACAACAGCCUACACUCGCAUCCACAUGAAUGAAAGAUAAAUGCCUCAGGCUGGUUGCUGCUGGGCUUCUGAUCAUGGGUGUGCCUGCAGGAAAACCUGUGUAUUUCAGCACUGUUUAUGAGUCAUCAUGGGCAAAAAGGACACCCAAUCCUACCUAAGACAUUUUCAGAUCUCAGCUUUAAGAACAACUCAUUUUCUCAUAACAAUGGAUGAAGAAGACAAGAACCCCGAGAGUGUUGCUGUCACAGUCUCUACUGUGAACUUGCAUGAGGCAUAUCAGAUUGUAGAAAGGGUGUCUACGUCCGUAUUAUCUAGAGCUAUAUUUAUAUCUGUAUCUAGAUAUCUAUAGGUAGACAAAAUAACGAAGACACUUCCACUUUUACGGGUAUUAGAAUUCAUAACCAACAUACUUAAAACUUCACCUUUAUUAAACAGGCAAAACUGCUUUUUCUUAAGGACUCGAAAUUCCCCUAUUUUUGUCUUUUGGAGUCAGAUAUUUUGAAUAAAUCAAGGAGUUCUCAUCACUUUCUCAACAUUUCAGGUGAUCUGCUUUCAGGAAGACAGACAUUGGAGUAAGAAAGAGCGACACCCGGACACCAGGGAUGCAUACACUCAGGGAAGAGGCUAGAUGGAGACACAAUUAGAUGGUCAUCUGCAAGCCAAGCUCUGCUAAGGGACAACAGCUGUCCUGUGCUCCAAACCUGAAACAGCCUGGUGGGUGAUGACAAGAGAUCGAGACAAUAUGAACUAGGAGUUGAGGUGAGAGCGUGAUUCGUGAAAGAAAACUAGACUUGGGCCUCAACAAUAAGAAGCCUUCAAGGGUUUCUUUUUGUUUAUGCAGCUGCUUGUUUAUUUGGUUUUUGCUUGUGCAUCUGUAUUUUGUAUUGAGAAGCCAUUGACAGAUUCUCCUGGCUUGCAUCAAAUUUAUGCAGGAGCUCCACACACUUCCUGAAGCCAUUUAGGCUGACUUUCAUAUCCACUGGUGUGAAAUAAAAG